UAAACAGUCAACAAAAUAACAAGACAAUACCUAAAAACACCCCUUUUCACACCACUAACAAUAAACAGAUAACAAUCUGUCAGGCAUUCAGAGUUAAACAGGGUACUGAUUAUCUAGGGGCAGAUAAGGCUACUGAUAGGGGUUGCCCAGACAUAAGGCUAGAAUGAGGUAUAAGACUUUUGAUUGGUUCAAAUUUUUGCACAGGAAAUUAUUUGAAAACAACAACUUUUGAAAAACAAGCUGGUUUCAGCAAUUGACCAGUCGCCAACUCCGCCCACAUUUUGUCGAUCAGCCAAUCAGAUAUCAGCGAUUUUCCUCCUUCUUUAUAAAGUACAGGUAAACGGCACUUUCCCAAUUACGAAAAAAAUACAAAUUUCCCAAUUGCUGUCCUUAAAUUCCCAAUUAAAGGUAAAAAAAAAAAAAAAUUUUUUUUUUUCUUUUUUAGCAACAUUUAGUUAGUUUCCCUUUGCAGCUCUAUAGCUUAAACCUAGGUUUAUAUAAUAUUGACAGCUUGAAAACACUUGGUUAUCAAUUUUAAAGUAUUUGGGAGCAAAAAAUCAAAUACACCAAUUUCCCAAUUUGAGGUUUUCACGACUCGAUUUUUCCCAAUUUUGAGGUUUUCACGACUCGAUUUUUCCCAAUUGGACCGGUACGGGUACUUUUCCCAAUUGGACAAGGAAAAUCGCUGGAUAUCGAUUUUUUCACACACCCCUCAGCAACGCUUAUCUGGCCGCCACUUUGUCCGACAAACAAAGCGUGUUGUACAUAUGGAAUGGACGUAAUUUUUAAGAGUUUACACAGAUUUUAUAUCAAAUGCAUGAUCAUUACUGUUCAAUCAUUAUUCAAAAUUGUAGGUGCUAUACAUUCUUUAUAAAAAGUUAUUAUUUUAUCUUCAUUUCUUGAACAUAUUAACGAGUAAUGAGAAAACAAACACAAUCAAUAGUUUAACCACACCAGGUGUGUGUUCUAUAAAAUGUGUUAUACCGUUUGAUGCACAAUAUUAUUAAGCAGUUUGGGCAACAUAAUAAUUGCCACACGUGCUUAUUAAUCUCAGCGUAAUUGUCGAUGAUUAAUAAAUAACAGUAUGUUGCGUGGAUCUCAGAAUGAAGGAACAUUAAGGCAUUGUUAGGUACUGUACACAAGAAAAGAAAACUAUUUAAUUACUUAAAUGAUUUCCAAUUAUAUAUUUAUUUUCUGUGGAUCAUAAACAAGGGAAAUCAUUAUAAAUUGUUAACUUUAAUAUUGUUUUAACUGAAGUAAAAACAACACAAAGGUGAUUUCAACGCGGCUUAGCCAGCUUAAAGCGACUUCAAGUGCAAAAUGUACGGCUUAUAAUACAACAACAACAUUUCUAAUACAACAUAUAUUGAUACGGGGAGAAAUGUGAAAAUUGCAAUUAACAUGUAAGAGCCAUCUUCUUAUAAAUAAGCAAAUGCAUAAUAUGCUAAAUGUAUUCAAUUCGAAUGUUCGUGAACAGCACCGUAAUACCAACAUUUCAUUUUUUGAUAGUGAAAUGUAACAGGUUCGCAUUAAACAUAAAUGAAAUAAAAUGCAUAUUAGACUAUCUGUUAAUGAAACCACGAAAUUAGGCCUGUAUUAAAUUAUGGUUACAAUCAAAAUUUAAUUUAUAUCCUAAUAAAACAAUUCGGUGUCUUUUUAAAAAUAACACAAUAAAACAAAAAUCUUAACAUUUUUAAUAAACAAAAAACCCAUCAUGAUAUGGAUAUGUCAUUUGCAUUUAAUAAAAAUAUUUUCAAUAUUAUAUAUGAAUAGCCACCGGGUUCACUGUCAGACGGUUGAAAAUCAAUAUGAAAUAAAUGCUCAUUUUUACAACGGAUUUUUCAUCCCCUCCCUAUAUAAUAUGUAUAAGAAACGUUUCUGAUAGUCAGUCUGCCGUUAACUCAUUUAUUUUGAUUACGCCAUUUCUCUCUAAAGUUUUUAUGAUUGUAUUAACGUUUUACAAAGCAGUUUAGGUUAGUGUGCGGCUUUAAUAAUUUAUUUUAUAGAAAAGAGCAUAAUACAUCAUUACAUAUAUAGAAUUUCCCUCACGUAAUCCGCUAUAAUUGCGAUCUGCUUGUCAGAGUUUUCUAAUCACUAGACCACGUGACUAUGUGGGCGGAGCGAUCGAUAAUUUGGCGACUGGUCAAUUGAAUAUUGAGCUAAAUUAAAUUAACAUUGAGACUUAUAAUUGUUCUGUAAAAUGUAUUGAAAUACUGUCAGCAUGAAGUUUUGUGUGAUGAAAACAAUGUGUUUUUUACUACAAUUUGGAAAUCAUCAGUUUGUUGGAAAAGAGGUUCAACUGUUGUUGUUUUUUUGGAAUACUGUAGAACAGUUUUAACAGGUUUGUAUUGUCAUUUCUUCAUCCUUUUUUUUAUUUAGUUUAUUGAAUUAAUUAUGAUCACUAGUAUAUUUAUGUAUUGUCACUGGGAAAUGUAAAUUGAUAAGUUAAUGUAUCGCAAUUUAAAGGAAAAACAACACAAUUUGAAGCAAAUAUAGAUAAACAUACACAUGACAAAGUGUAAAUGUUGUGUACAGUGAAUUGUUGGGGUUGUGUUUUAUGAUUAUUGUCAUCUUUAUUGUUAUUUAUUGAUAUUUCUGGUUAUUACUGAACAGAUUUCUUUCCCUCAUAUUUUAAUGUUGAAGGUUAAACUCUUGCCCCAAGAGCAAAAGGGGUUAUCAUACUACCUGAUGUAUGGACUUUUAAACCAGGCUUUUACCCUGCAGAGCUGGCCAACUUGAGGGGAACUGAAGUGGGCAAACCUCGCCCUGUCCUUGAACAAGAAAGCUGGAUUUGUUGAGAGAGUAUCAUUAAAGCUGAAAUCCAGCAUGAAACCAGGGAGGUGAAGGCCAUCGCACAGGCCAUGUGCCAACUAUUCACUCCCCACCAGCUUGUGACUUGCUCCAUGAAGGGAGCAACAACUACAACGGGGUCACCAAGACCAAGCCUCCCUGCUGCUGAGAGAAAUGCAAUCAUUGAUGUCAUAGCCAAAACCUUUGACAAGCCUCUGGUGGAUGUUAAAGAAAAGAUGAGAGGUUGUUUAAGGCGUCUGCGGCUGAUGCACAAGUAGACUGAAGUCUUUGUAAAUAAAAUGUGCUGUUAAAAUGAUUAUUUAACCAUUGUUUUCACUUUGUUAUAUAGAUUUGCACCUGUUGCAACAUCAUUAACUUAUUUUUGUGCUCCCGAUAGGGUCUCAUAUAGCAGUUGAACUGUCCGUCUGUCUGUCUAUCCGUCCGAAAACUUUAGCAUUGGUCAUAACUUUUGCAAUAUUGAAGAAAGCAACUUGAUAUUUAGCAUGCAUGUGUAUCUCAUUGAGCUGCACAUUUUGAGUGGUGCAAGGUCAAGGUCAUCCUUCAAGGUCAGAGGUCAAUAUCCAAUGGAAGUAAU
This is a long non-coding RNA of Dreissena polymorpha, 3385 nucleotides long. RefSeq lists it as uncharacterized. The record is from RefSeq and is a predicted model, not a curated record. Lineage: Eukaryota; Metazoa; Mollusca; Bivalvia; Myida; Dreissenidae. The transcript is spliced from 3 exons.